GAGCGUCAUUUGUACCCUCAAGCCUUGCUUGGUGUUGGGUGAUUGUCUAUCCGCUUGGUUAGACUCGCCUUAAAUUAAUUGGCAGCUGGUAUUCUGGUUUUAAGCGUAGCACAAUUACGGUUUUCUCUAGAGGGCCCGCAUCCACAAAGUACAUUAUCACGUUUGACCUCGGAUCAGGUAGGGAUACCCGCUGAACUUAA
This 200-nucleotide unclassified non-coding RNA is filed under the name soil metagenome. RNAcentral describes it as "partial contains internal transcribed spacer 2 and large subunit ribosomal RNA". The record is from RNAcentral.